This 118-nucleotide ribosomal RNA is filed under the name Williamsia sp. Lineage: Bacteria; Bacillati; Actinomycetota; Actinomycetes; Mycobacteriales; Nocardiaceae. The record is from RNAcentral.
AACUUCGGCCAUACCAAGCAAGAAGCACUGCAUCCCGUUUGAUCUGCAAAGUUAAGCUGCUUAGGGCUUCGUCAGUACUGCGGUAGGUGACUACGCUGGACCCCAAGUGUCGAAGUUU